RNAcentral lists this long non-coding RNA (496 nucleotides) under Mus musculus (house mouse). RNAcentral describes it as "long non-coding RNA chr4:135853677-135854173". Lineage: Eukaryota; Metazoa; Chordata; Mammalia; Rodentia; Muridae. The record is from RNAcentral.
CUUAUCUUGUGUUUUCUAUCCACAGACAUAUAUAUGUUAUUGCUUGCCGAGAGACCAUCUCUCUACUAUAUCAAUAGCAGUUAACUAUCCAUGUAAUUUUUUUAAAAACAUGAUGUCUUUGUUGGAGAAUUUAUUGAUAAAUUCAAUGAGCAAAACAUUGCCUGACUAGAAGAAGCAAACCAGGCACCCAUUAAACAGAUCCCGGAUGCUAGAGAAUUAGAGAAGUUACUGGUUCAAACACACCACUACCUUUGCUCCUUUGGACAGAGAAACUACAGUGUCGUGGCCUUGGAGGUCACUUAUGGAUGGUACGUAGACCAUAGAAGGGGGUAAAGCAAAAAUUGCCUGGAAUAUUCCUAUUUCUCUGCAGGAUGUAAUGGGUGGAGAAGUAGGCGGAACAGAUCAUCUUCACACAGCAGGAGAGAGAGAUGAUUGACAGGCACACUGUACACCCAAGCUGCUCACAGAGAAGGCUCCAGUGCAACAUGUUAUGUAA